AAGAGCCUUCAAAGCUCUAAGCAAGUGCUACACACUUAACCCCUG
This 45-nucleotide transfer RNA is filed under the name Canis lupus familiaris (dog). RNAcentral's name for it is "partial tRNA-Trp". Lineage: Eukaryota; Metazoa; Chordata; Mammalia; Carnivora; Canidae. The record is from RNAcentral.